RNAcentral lists this ribosomal RNA (464 nucleotides) under Vreelandella stevensii. Its description in RNAcentral is "partial 16S ribosomal RNA". It matches the Rfam family "Bacterial small subunit ribosomal RNA", at positions 339 to 795 of the family's 1533-position model. The record is from RNAcentral. Lineage: Bacteria; Pseudomonadati; Pseudomonadota; Gammaproteobacteria; Oceanospirillales; Halomonadaceae.
CCACGGGGGGCUGCAGUGGGGAAUAUUGGACAAUGGGGGGAACCCUGAUCCAGCCAUGCCGCGUGUGUGAAGAAGGCCCUCGGGUUGUAAAGCACUUUCAGUGAGGAAGAACGCCUGGUGGUUAAUACCCAUCAGGAAAGACAUCACUCACAGAAGAAGCACCGGCUAACUCCGUGCCAGCAGCCGCGGUAAUACGGAGGGUGCGAGCGUUAAUCGGAAUUACUGGGCGUAAAGCGCGCGUAGGUGGCUUGAUAAGCCGGUUGUGAAAGCCCCGGGCUCAACCUGGGAACGGCAUCCGGAACUGUCAAGCUAGAGUGCAGGAGAGGAAGGUAGAAUUCCCGGUGUAGCGGUGAAAUGCGUAGAGAUCGGGAGGAAUACCAGUGGCGAAGGCGGCCUUCUGGACUGACACUGACACUGAGGUGCGAAAGCGUGGGUAGCAAACAGGAUUAGAUACCCUUGUAGUC